AUUAUUUAUUUACCUUUCUGAUUUCUGUACUCUGUGUAGUCGUGAAUCUGAUAAUUUACCAACAUGCGAUUUUUGCCGACAGUUGUUCUCUUGGUUGCUGUAGUUAUGAUUGUUGCUGAUGCAGGUAGGAACGGUCGUCGUUGGCAUAAUCGUAAUAAUCGGCGUUAUGGGAGACACAGAGGAACAGCGUUGAGAAACGUCAGCUGUCGAACAGUAAUGAAUGCGGGUGUUUGUGAGAGAUGUUGUGAUCCGUGUAGAAAUGUCGAGUGUUGUGCGCCCCUAACGUGUGAUAUGGGAGUGUGUAAUUGUAACGGCAAUGUCUGUGGUGAGGAUCAAACCUGCACUGGAACUAGCGAUGGCGCUAGUUGUAUAGACAAUUGUAAAGACGAAGAUUGUGCUGGGUCCCUAACGUGUGACGAGGGGGAGUGCAAAUGUAACGGCACCGUCUGUGGAGCUGAUCAAACCUGCACUGAAACUAUUGAUGAUGCCUUUUGUAAAGACGAUUGUACAAACAACGACGAUUGUGAUUCCUACGAAAUAUGUGAUGGGGGAGAUUGUAAAUGUGGUCGCAACGUCUGUACCCCUAGUCAAAUGUGCCUACCUGAACGUGAUGGUAUAGGAGGUUUACUGUGUUAUAACUGAACAACAUCGGAAUUACAAACUUUACGACCAACACCAGCUAGCGUAGCUUCUGCAGCCAAACUGAAUUCAAAUUUACUUUACAAUACUAUCAUGAAAUAAUAUAAAUAAAUUUUAAUGUUUGUCUCUUGUUUAA
Long non-coding RNA from Patella vulgata (common limpet), 775 nucleotides. RefSeq lists it as uncharacterized. The record is from RefSeq and is a predicted model, not a curated record. The transcript is spliced from 5 exons. NCBI's taxonomy places the organism in Eukaryota, Metazoa, Mollusca, Gastropoda, Patellidae.